UGAGCCAAGUUUAGGGUUUUCUCAAAACCCAAGCAGUAUUGAACUGAAGAGUUUGAUCAUGGCUCAGAUUGAACGCUGGCGGCAGGCCUAACACAUGCAAGUCGAGCGGAUGAAGGGGGCUUGCUCCUGGAUUCAGCGGCGGACGGGUGAGUAAUGCCUAGGAAUCUGCCUGGUAGUGGGGG
This 182-nucleotide ribosomal RNA is filed under the name Pseudomonas aeruginosa. RNAcentral describes it as "partial 16S ribosomal RNA". The stretch from base 41 to 182 matches the Rfam family "Bacterial small subunit ribosomal RNA", at positions 1 to 142 of the family's 1533-position model. The record is from RNAcentral. Lineage: Bacteria; Pseudomonadati; Pseudomonadota; Gammaproteobacteria; Pseudomonadales; Pseudomonadaceae.